This 113-nucleotide non-coding RNA is filed under the name Leptotrombidium deliense. The record is from RNAcentral. Lineage: Eukaryota; Metazoa; Arthropoda; Arachnida; Trombidiformes; Trombiculidae.
GCCGAGCAUGGUGGCACACGCCUGUAAUCCCAGCAGCUCGGAAGGCUGAGACUGGAGGAUCGCGAGUUUAAAAUAAGUGAGGUGCUAAGCAGCUCAGUGAGACCCUGUCUCAA